RNAcentral lists this ribosomal RNA (775 nucleotides) under uncultured Neocallimastigales. Its description in RNAcentral is "partial large subunit ribosomal RNA". It matches the Rfam family "Eukaryotic large subunit ribosomal RNA", at positions 24 to 614 of the family's 3401-position model. Lineage: Eukaryota; Fungi; Neocallimastigomycota; Neocallimastigomycetes; Neocallimastigales. The record is from RNAcentral.
UAUGUGAUCGUCUCUCGCAUAUCAAUAAGCGGAGGAAAAGAAACUAACAAGGAUUCCCCUAGUAACGGCGAGUGAAGCGGGAAGAGCUCAAAUUUGAAAUCUUAAAGGGUUUCCCUUUACGAAUUGUAGUUUAAAGAAGUGUUUUCUGUUGAGGUUUUGGUAAAAGUUCUUUGGAAUAGGACAUCAUAGAGGGUGAGAAUCCCGUAUUUGACCAUUUACUUUCAGCUUUGUGAUACACUUUCAAAGAGUCGGAUUGUUUGGGAAUGCAGUCCAAAAUGGGUGGUAAAUUUCAUCUAAAGCUAAAUAUUGGCGAGAGACCGAUAGCGAACAAGUACCGUGAGGGAAAGAUGAAAAGAGCUUUGAAAAGAGAGUUAAACAGUACGUGAAAUUGUCAAAAGGGAAGCGUUUGACACCAGUGUUGUUUCUCUGAAAAUCAAUUAAAGAACUGUUUAUGCUAAGUUGUUUAGACUUUAUCAGCUAUCUGUUUAGUUUUGAGCUUUUCUUUAAUGCACUUUUCAGUUAACAAGUCAACAUCAAUUUCUUUUGCUGUAAAAAAGCUUGAGGAAGGUGGCUUGAGAUUCGUCUUAAGUGUUUAUAGCCUCUUGCCUAUGCAGUCGGAGAGAUUGAGGUCUGCAGCGUAGAUCCUUCGGGGCUAAAUGCAUUUGUGCUAAGUUAUAGCAUUUUAUAGACAACUUGUUGACUAUGAUUUGUCUUGUAGCUUACUCGCUUAUGUUAUUUUACCUACGCUUAGGAUGUUGAGUCAUCACACAUCUCU